GACGAACGCUGGCGGCGUGCUUAACACAUGCAAGUCGAGCGGAAAGGCCCUUCGGGGUACUCGAGCGGCGAACGGGUGAGUAACACGUGAGUAACCUGCCCCAGACUUUGGGAUAACCCUCGGAAACGGGGGCUAAUACCGGAUAUGACACAGCUUCGCAUGGGGUCUGUGUGGAAAGUUUUUCGGUUUGGGAUGGGCUCGCGGCCUAUCAGCUUGUUGGUGGGGUGAUGGCCUACCAAGGCGACGACGGGUAGCCGGCCUGAGAGGGCGACCGGCCACACUGGGACUGAGACACGGCCCAGACUCCUACGGGAGGCAGCAGUGGGGAAUAUUGCACAAUGGGCGGAAGCCUGAUGCAGCGACGCCGCGUGAGGGAUGACGGCCUUCGGGUUGUAAACCUCUUUCAGCAGGGACGAAGCGUAAGUGACGGUACCUGCAGAAGAAGCGCCGGCCAACUACGUG
Molecule: ribosomal RNA, 462 nt
Filed under: uncultured bacterium
Lineage: Bacteria
Description: partial 16S ribosomal RNA
Rfam family: Bacterial small subunit ribosomal RNA
Source: RNAcentral